CCGAGUUUACAACUCCCAAACCCCUGUGAACAUACCUAUACUUGUUGCCUCGGCGGAUCAGCCCGCGCCCGUAAAACGGGACGGCCCGCCAGAGGACCCCUAAACUCUGUUUCUAUAGUGGAACUUCUGAGUAAAACCAUAAAUAAAUCA
RNAcentral lists this unclassified non-coding RNA (150 nucleotides) under soil metagenome. RNAcentral describes it as "partial internal transcribed spacer 1". The record is from RNAcentral.